CAUUUACGGAGAGUUUGAUCCUGGCUCAGGACGAACGCUGGCGGCGUGCUUAACACAUGCAAGUCGAACGAUGAAGCCGGAGCUUGCUCUGGUGGAUUAGUGGCGAACGGGUGAGUAACACGUGAGUAACCUGCCCUUGACUCUGGGAUAAGCGUUGGAAACGACGUCUAAUACCGGAUACGAGCUUCA
RNAcentral lists this ribosomal RNA (189 nucleotides) under Leifsonia sp. Its description in RNAcentral is "partial 16S ribosomal RNA". It matches the Rfam family "Bacterial small subunit ribosomal RNA", at positions 1 to 184 of the family's 1533-position model. Lineage: Bacteria; Bacillati; Actinomycetota; Actinomycetes; Micrococcales; Microbacteriaceae. The record is from RNAcentral.